Pristis pectinata (smalltooth sawfish) is the source of this 285-nucleotide long non-coding RNA. RefSeq lists it as uncharacterized. The record is from RefSeq and is a predicted model, not a curated record. Lineage: Eukaryota; Metazoa; Chordata; Chondrichthyes; Rhinopristiformes; Pristidae. The transcript is spliced from 3 exons.
UCAGCCCCCUUACAUCUCCCCUGCAACCCACCUCCCUCCAACGCCGUAACAGCAGGUGAAGUUGCUGCUGGUCUCACAGACUUCUUACUGGAAUUAUGCUGUACGGUCUUCCAUCGCUGAACGGAAGGUGGUUGGUGACCUCAUCAGAUGUGGGAACUACAACAGGAACUGACACCAAGGUUUGGGUGAAUUGCAAUAAGAAGUGGCUGCUCCAGUUUCGCGAUGGACAGACUUCCAUCGGAGAGUGCAUUCGGUGGGCCUGGAGUCACCCAUAGCCCAGACAAG